RNAcentral lists this ribosomal RNA (253 nucleotides) under uncultured bacterium. Its description in RNAcentral is "partial 16S ribosomal RNA". It matches the Rfam family "Bacterial small subunit ribosomal RNA", at positions 524 to 776 of the family's 1533-position model. The record is from RNAcentral.
UACGUAGGGUGCAAGCGUUGUCCGGAAUUAUUGGGCGUAAAGAGCUCGUAGGCGGUCUGUCGCGUCGGCUGUGAAAUCCCGAGGCUCAACCUCGGGUCUGCAGUCGAUACGGGCAAACUAGAGUAUUGCAGGGGAGACUGGAAUUCCUGGUGUAGCGGUGAAAUGCGCAGAUAUCAGGAGGAACACCGGUGGCGAAGACGGGUUGCUGGGCUGACACUGACGCUGAGGCGCGAAAGCCAGGGGAGCAAACGGG